Molecule: long non-coding RNA, 228 nt
Filed under: Linum usitatissimum (flax)
Lineage: Eukaryota; Viridiplantae; Streptophyta; Magnoliopsida; Malpighiales; Linaceae
Description: long non-coding RNA (LUSI_LNC005233)
Source: RNAcentral
UUUAUCCUAAUUAUUUAUAAAAUAGUACCUACCUCGAAGAUGGAGAACGAGAUGAUUUAUGAGAGAGUCCAAACGAGAUUGGCGGAUCGAAAAACACAGACUGGACUUGAUGCUCUAAAAUCUUCGUUAUUGGGGCCUUGAUGGAAAAUAGUAGACGGCUAGAAAAAAUAAAAAUAAAAUGAAAAAUAUCUAUCAAGAUUUCCAAUUAUAGUCAGAAAAAUAAAACCA